AACGAACGCUGGCGGCGCGUUUUAAGCAUGCAAGUCGAGCGGCAGGGGGCCUCGGUCCCCGAGAGCGGCGGACGGGUGAGUAACACGUGGACAACCUGCCCCCCGGUUCGGGAUAGCCCAGGGAAACCUGGAUCAAUACCGGAUGCGAGGGCGGCCGCACAAGCGGUCGUCGGGAAAGGCGCUUCGGCGCCGCCGGGGGAUGGGUCCGCGUCCCAUUAGCUAGACGGUGGGGUAACGGCCCACCGUGGCGAUGAUGGGUAGCCGGCCUGAGAGGGUGGACGGCCACAUUGGAACUGAGACACGGUCCAGACUCCUACGGGAGGCAGCAGUGAGGAAUAUUGCGCAAUGGGGGCAACCCUGACGCAGCAACGCCGCGUGAGUGAGGAAGGUUUUCGGACUGUAAAGCUCUGUCGAGCGGGAAGAAGUGUACCAUGGCUAAUAUCCAUGAUAUUUGACGGUACCGCUAGAGGAAGCACCGGCUAACUCCGUG
RNAcentral lists this ribosomal RNA (490 nucleotides) under uncultured bacterium. RNAcentral describes it as "bacterial SSU rRNA". It matches the Rfam family "Bacterial small subunit ribosomal RNA", at positions 28 to 507 of the family's 1533-position model. The record is from RNAcentral.